CUUAUAACCCUGGAAAAUGAAGUCCUCUCUUUAUUCAUGAGCAAGUUACAACUCAGGAAGUGACACAGGAAGCUUUCUCAAACUGCCCUGCCACAGCAACCACAACUUCUAACGGGAAAGACCACCCUGGGAAUAAGAAGCAAUUCAGGUUUCCUACUAGUAAUUCCCGAGCCUCU
Molecule: small RNA, 176 nt
Filed under: Pogona vitticeps (central bearded dragon)
Lineage: Eukaryota; Metazoa; Chordata; Lepidosauria; Squamata; Agamidae
Description: TUC338 (ENSPVIG00000015231.1)
Source: RNAcentral